GGGGAUAUAGCUCAGCUGGGAGAGCGCUGCCUUGCACGCAGGAGGUCAGCGGUUCGAUCCCGCUUAUCUCCACCA
RNAcentral lists this transfer RNA (75 nucleotides) under Pasteurella canis. Its description in RNAcentral is "tRNA-Ala(tgc)". It matches the Rfam family "tRNA". Rfam says of the family: Transfer RNA (tRNA) molecules are approximately 80 nucleotides in length. Their secondary structure includes four short double-helical elements and three loops (D, anti-codon, and T loops). Lineage: Bacteria; Pseudomonadati; Pseudomonadota; Gammaproteobacteria; Pasteurellales; Pasteurellaceae. The record is from RNAcentral.